UCUUGUUGCCUGAAUUGGUCCUACACUCU
This 29-nucleotide non-coding RNA is filed under the name Rattus norvegicus (Norway rat). Lineage: Eukaryota; Metazoa; Chordata; Mammalia; Rodentia; Muridae. The record is from RNAcentral.